This 67-nucleotide transfer RNA is filed under the name Binodoxys acalephae. Its description in RNAcentral is "tRNA-Tyr". The record is from RNAcentral. Lineage: Eukaryota; Metazoa; Arthropoda; Insecta; Hymenoptera; Braconidae.
AAGUAUUGUGUCUGAAUAAAGUAAUAAACUGUAAAUUUAUUUAUAAGAUUAACUAAUCUUCUAUACU